RNAcentral lists this ribosomal RNA (617 nucleotides) under uncultured Magnaporthaceae. Its description in RNAcentral is "eukaryotic LSU rRNA". The stretch from base 257 to 410 matches the Rfam family "5.8S ribosomal RNA". Lineage: Eukaryota; Fungi; Ascomycota; Sordariomycetes; Magnaporthales; Magnaporthaceae. The record is from RNAcentral.
CUUGGUCAUUUAGAGGAAGUAAAAGUCGUAACAAGGUUUCCGUAGGUGAACCUGCGGAAGGAUCAUUAAUGUAACCGGACCGGUCCUCUGCCGUAAAACGCAGCGGAUGGGAAUGGGAGAUAUCAUACACCCUAUGUUUAUUUACUUUUGUUGCUUUGGCGGGCCGUCCUUUUAGGCGUCGGCCCCGGCUGAUCGCGCCCGCCAGAGGACCCAAACUCUUUUAUCAGUGAUGUCUGAGUACUAUAAUAAUAGUUAAAACUUUCAACAACGGAUCUCUUGGUUCUGGCAUCGAUGAAGAACGCAGCGAAAUGCGAUAAGUAAUGUGAAUUGCAGAAUUCAGUGAAUCAUCGAAUCUUUGAACGCACAUUGCGCCCGCUGGUAUUCCGGCGGGCAUGCCUGUUCGGGCGUCAUUAUGACCAAUCAAGCUCUGCUUGGCCUUGGGGCCCGCUGUACCGGCGGCCCUUAAAAUCAGUGGCGGUGCCGUCUGGCUCUAAGCGUAGUAAUACUUCUCGCUACAGGGUCCAGCCGUCCACCCGCCAGAACCCCCAACUUUCUCAGGUUGACCUCGGAUCAGGUAGGGAUACCCGCUGAACUUAAGCAUAUCAAUAAGCGGAGGA